This 1372-nucleotide ribosomal RNA is filed under the name uncultured bacterium. RNAcentral describes it as "bacterial SSU rRNA". It matches the Rfam family "Bacterial small subunit ribosomal RNA", at positions 28 to 1381 of the family's 1533-position model. The record is from RNAcentral.
GAUGAACGCUGGCGGCGUGCCUAAUACAUGCAAGUCGAGCGAACAGAUAAGGAGCUUGCUCCUUUGACGUUAGCGGCGGACGGGUGAGUAACACGUGGGUAACCUACCUAUAAGACUGGGAUAACUUCGGGAAACCGGAGCUAAUACCGGAUAAUAUUUCGAACCGCAUGGUUCGAUAGUGAAAGAUGGUUUUGCUAUCACUUAUAGAUGGACCCGCGCCGUAUUAGCUAGUUGGUAAGGUAACGGCUUACCAAGGCGACGAUACGUAGCCGACCUGAGAGGGUGAUCGGCCACACUGGAACUGAGACACGGUCCAGACUCCUACGGGAGGCAGCAGUAGGGAAUCUUCCGCAACGGGCGAAAGCCUGACGGAGCAACGCCGCGUGAGUGAUGAAGGUCUUCGGAUCGUAAAACUCUGUUAUUAGGGAAGAACAUACGUGUAAGUAACUGUGCACGUCUUGACGGUACCUAAUCAGAAAGCCACGGCUAACUACGUGCCAGCAGCCGCGGUAAUACGUAGGUGGCAAGCGUUAUCCGGAAUUAUUGGACGUAAAGCGCGCGUAGGCGGUUUUUUAAGUCUGAUGUGAAAGCCCACGGCUCAACCGUGGAGGGUCAUUGGAAACUGGAAAACUUGAGUGCAGAAGAGGAAAGUGGAAUUCCAUGUGUAGCGGUGAAAUGCGCAGAGAUAUGGAGGAACACCAGUGGCGAAGGCGACUUUCUGGUCUGUAACUGACGCUGAUGUGCGAAAGCGUGGGGAUCAAACAGGAUUAGAUACCCUGGUAGUCCACGCCGUAAACGAUGAGUGCUAAGUGUUAGGGGGUUUCCGCCCCUUAGUGCUGCAGCUAACGCAUUAAGCACUCCGCCUGGGGAGUACGACCGCAAGGUUGAAACUCAAAGGAAUUGACGGGGACCCGCACAAGCGGUGGAGCAUGUGGUUUAAUUCGAAGCAACGCGAAGAACCUUACCAAAUCUUGACAUCCUUUGACAACUCUAGAGAUAGAGCUUUCCCCUUCGGGGGACAAAGUGACAGGUGGUGCAUGGUUGUCGUCAGCUCGUGUCGUGAGAUGUUGGGUUAAGUCCCGCAACGAGCGCAACCCUUAAGCUUAGUUGCCAUCAUUAAGUUGGGCACUCUAAGUUGACUGCCGGUGACAAACCGGAGGAAGGUGGGGAUGACGUCAAAUCAUCAUGCCCCUUAUGAUUUGGGCUACACACGUGCUACAAUGGACAAUACAAAGGGUAGCGAAACCGCGAGGUCAAGCAAAUCCCAUAAAGUUGUUCUCAGUUCGGAUUGUAGUCUGCAACUCGACUACAUGAAGCUGGAAUCGCUAGUAAUCGUAGAUCAGCAUGCUACGGUGAAUACGUUCCCGGGUCU